Molecule: long non-coding RNA, 237 nt
Organism: Eptesicus fuscus (big brown bat)
Lineage: Eukaryota; Metazoa; Chordata; Mammalia; Chiroptera; Vespertilionidae
Exons: 3
Source: RefSeq, a predicted model, not a curated record
CGAACCUGCUGUACCAGUUCCUCCUGCUUCCUGGAGACACAUGGAGUGCUGACAGGGAAUGUCCCUAUCUCUGGGAAGACCAGGGAAGAGUGGAAGAGAGAGGGAAAGACAGAGAAAUAUUGAUGUGACAGAAACACAUCGACUGGUUACUCCUACACACGCCCCCACCAGGGCUCAUGACGGGGAGGAGCCUGAAACCAAGCACUUUUACGUUUCCUGCCCAGUGCCAGUUCAAAC